GCGCAGCAGGCGAGAAUUUUUCACAAUGGGGGAAACCCUGAUGGAGCGACGCCGCGUGGAGGAUGAAGGCGUUUUCGUCGUAAACUCCUGUCAAACGGGAACAAGAAAGUGAUAGUACCGUUAGAGGAAGAGACGGCUAACUCUGUGCCAGCAGCCGCGGUAAUACAGAGGUCUCAAGCGUUGUUCGGAUUCAUUGGGCGUAAAGGGUGCGUAGGUGGCUUGGUAAGUUGAAGGUGAAAUCUCGGGGCUUAACUCCGAAACUGCCUUCAAUGCUGCUGAGCUCGAGGAUUGUAGAGGAGAAUGGAAUUCACGGUGUAGCAGUGAAAUGCGUAGAUAUCGUGAGGAAGACCAGUGGCGAAGGCGAUUCUCUGGGCAAUUCCUGACACUGAGGCACGAAGGCCAGGGAAGCAAACGGGAUUAGAUACCCGCGUAGU
Molecule: ribosomal RNA, 434 nt
Filed under: uncultured organism
Description: bacterial SSU rRNA
Rfam family: Bacterial small subunit ribosomal RNA
Source: RNAcentral